RNAcentral lists this long non-coding RNA (499 nucleotides) under Lotus japonicus. RNAcentral describes it as "long non-coding RNA (LJAP_LNC000285)". Lineage: Eukaryota; Viridiplantae; Streptophyta; Magnoliopsida; Fabales; Fabaceae. The record is from RNAcentral.
CACUGGAGCACUUACUCUCCAAGGUUAGCGAUCUCAUGAUCUGGGCUCUUCGCAAGUAAUCCCCUCUUCCUUCUCCUCCCCUUUCUUUUCUAGAGUUUUCUACAUUUGAUUCCCUUUCAUCUUUCUAUCUUUCUGUAGAACCCAUAAUAGUUUAUUGAUUUUUUUACAAACUAUGAAGAAGCCUGAGUUACUUUUCAGCUGAUUGGUUUUUGGAGCUUUCGUUCUGUCUCAGAUUAAGAGGAUUGAUUCGCCCAGUUGGGGCUUGCAAAUUAAAAAUUUCAUUGAAAGAAGUACUUGCUGAAAAAUUUGCUGGUGUAGGGUUGAUUGGUUUUGUCUAUUUCCUUCUAAUUUAUAACUGUAUUUUAAUUUGGCACAGUUCUUUCUCUUGAUAAUAUGCUAAAUGCUGGAUUUUCUCUAUUGAUUUCUGUAGUGAUCUUUAUUUCAGGGCUUUUCCAUGGCAGAUUUAUGAAGGAGACAUUCGAGACACCUUGAAAGCAAG